RNAcentral lists this ribosomal RNA (468 nucleotides) under uncultured bacterium. RNAcentral's name for it is "partial 16S ribosomal RNA". It matches the Rfam family "Bacterial small subunit ribosomal RNA", at positions 28 to 507 of the family's 1533-position model. The record is from RNAcentral.
GACGAACGCUGGCGGCGUGCUUAACACAUGCAAGUCGAACGGAAAGGCCCUGCUUUUGUGGGGUGCUCGAGUGGCGAACGGGUGAGUAACACGCGAGUAACCUGCCCUUGACUUUGUGAUAACUCCAGGAAACUGGGGCUAAUACCGGAUAGGAGCUCUUGCUGCAUGGUGUGGGUUGGAAAGUUGCGGCGGUUGGGGCUGGACUCGCGGCUUAUCCGCUUGUUGGUGGGGUAGGGGCUUACCAAGGCUUUGACGGGUAGCCGGCCUGAGAGGGUGACCGGCCACAUUGGGACUGAGAUACGGCCCAGACUGCUACGGGAGGCAGCAGUGGGGAGUAUGGCACAAUGGGCGGAAGCGUGAUGCAGAAACGCCGCGUGCGGGAUGACGGCCUUCGGGUUGUAAACCACUGUCGCCUGUGACGAAGCGGGAGUGACGGUAAUGGGUAAAGAAGCACCGGCUAACUACGUG